ACGCUCGACACCUACGGGAGCAGCAGUGGGGAAUAUUGCACAAUGGGGGAAACCCUGAUGCAGCGACGCCGCGUGAAGGAAGAAGUAUCUCGGUAUGUAAACUUCUAUCAGCAGGGAAGAAAAUGACGGUACCUGACUAAGAAGCCCCGGCUAACUACGUGCCGACAGCCGCGGUAAUCUGAGCGGGCUGGCAAGGC
This 197-nucleotide ribosomal RNA is filed under the name uncultured bacterium. RNAcentral describes it as "partial 16S ribosomal RNA". It matches the Rfam family "Bacterial small subunit ribosomal RNA", at positions 328 to 539 of the family's 1533-position model. The record is from RNAcentral.